AACGAACGCUGGCGGCAUGCCUAACACAUGCAAGUCGAACGAGAUCUUCGGGUCUAGUGGCGCACGGGUGCGUAACGCGUGGGAUUCUGCCCUUUGGUUCGGAAUAACAGUUGGAAACGACUGCUAAUACCGGAUGAUGACGAAAGUCCAAAGAUUUAUCGCCAGAGGAUGAGCCCGCGUGGGAUUAGCUAGUUGGUGUGGUAAAGGCGCACCAAGGCGACGAUCCUUAGCUGGUCUGAGAGGAUGAUCAGCCACACUGGGACUGAGACACGGCCCAGACUCCUACGGGAGGCAGCAGUGGGGAAUAUUGGACAAUGGGCGAAAGCCUGAUCCAGCAAUGCCGCGUGAGUGAUGAGGGCCUUAGGGUUGUAAAGCUCUUUUACCCGGGAUGAUAAUGACAGUACCGGGAGAAUAAGCUCCGGCUAACUCCGUGCCAGCCGCCGCCGUAA
Molecule: ribosomal RNA, 449 nt
Filed under: uncultured bacterium
Lineage: Bacteria
Description: partial 16S ribosomal RNA
Rfam family: Bacterial small subunit ribosomal RNA
Source: RNAcentral